This 65-nucleotide transfer RNA is filed under the name Bradyrhizobium erythrophlei. RNAcentral's name for it is "tRNA_Thr_GGT". It matches the Rfam family "tRNA". Rfam says of the family: Transfer RNA (tRNA) molecules are approximately 80 nucleotides in length. Lineage: Bacteria; Pseudomonadati; Pseudomonadota; Alphaproteobacteria; Hyphomicrobiales; Nitrobacteraceae. The record is from RNAcentral.
ACUUCUAUAGCCUGAGCACUCCAUUGGUAAUGGAGAGGUCGACAGUUCAAUCCUGUCUGGCAGCA